GAAUGUGAGAGGGAUCUUUCACUCUGUUGAACAGCUGGGCUGAUUCAGCUGAUCUGGCUGCCUAGAUGAAUGCCCCCUUCUUCCCUCACUGCUUCCUGUGCAUCCCUUCCAAAGAUGCAUGAUCAAUGGAAGAGGAUGACCAUCUCAGACAGGCGCGUGCAGAG
Podarcis lilfordi (Lilford's wall lizard) is the source of this 164-nucleotide non-coding RNA. NCBI's taxonomy places the organism in Eukaryota, Metazoa, Chordata, Lepidosauria, Squamata, Lacertidae. The record is from the annotation of a GenBank genome assembly.